GACGAACGCUGGCGGCGUGCUUAACACAUGCAAGUCGAACGGAAAGGCCCUGCUUUUGUGGGGUGCUCGAGUGGCGAACGGGUGAGUAACACGUGAGUAACCUGCCCUUGACUUUGGGAUAACUUCAGGAAACUGGGGCUCAUACCGGAUAGGAGCUCCUGCUGCAUGGUGGGGGUUGGAAAGUUUCGGCGGUUGGGGAUGGACUCGCGGCUUAUCAGCUUGUUGGUGGGGUAGUGGCUUACCAAGGCUUUGACGGGUAGCCGGCCUGAGAGGGUGACCGGCCACAUUGGGACUGAGAUACGGCGCAGACUCCUACGGGAGGCAGCAGUGGGGAAUAUUGCACAAUGGGCGGAAGCCUGAUGCAGCAACGCCGCGUGCGGGAUGACGGCCUUCGGGUUGUAAACCGCUUUCGCCUGUGACGAAGCGUGAGUGACGGUAAUGGGUAAAGAAGCACCGGCUAACUACGUG
Molecule: ribosomal RNA, 468 nt
Filed under: uncultured bacterium
Lineage: Bacteria
Description: partial 16S ribosomal RNA
Rfam family: Bacterial small subunit ribosomal RNA
Source: RNAcentral